Long non-coding RNA from Poecile atricapillus (Black-capped chickadee), 741 nucleotides. RefSeq lists it as uncharacterized. NCBI's taxonomy places the organism in Eukaryota, Metazoa, Chordata, Aves, Passeriformes, Paridae. The record is from RefSeq and is a predicted model, not a curated record. The transcript has 8 exons.
GGCCUGAGGGGAGGCUCUGAGGGGAUUUCAAGAGGGUUUCAGGGGGGUGGGGCGGCCUCGAUAACCGAUUCCCCUCUCCCCGGGCUAACGGGGAGCGGCCCGGAGCUCUUCCUGCGGCGCCGUUCCCCUCACGGCGCAGCCGCUCUGUGCGUCCCUGAGGAGUUCCGGGAGGGGUCAGCGCCUUCCCCAGGGGCCUGCUCGGGGAUGAAUCUCUCACAGACCUGUGCUGAUGGCGCGGUGAAGAAUUUGGAGUUCUCUGAGGGCUAGUCCUGCUCCGGCCUGGGGGUUGGCUGCACCAUGAUGGUCACAUCUUUGUCUCUAACGCCUUUUAUUUUUUGUUUCUUUUUUAGUAUUCAAGCCCGAAAAACAAUGCUUCUCUCGGAGCAUGGAAUCCUCAUCCGCGGGUUCCCUGUGGCCCCUCCCCAGCGUGGGGGAAACCUCAGCCCGGGGUGAGCUUCAGGGCACCCUGAAGUGACCACAAUGACCCGAGCUCAGCCGCGGGAGCUGAGGAUCCCCUGAGCCCCCUGGAUUCAAUCCCGUUGGGGUGAGCCCCUUUCCCCAUGGGGCAGAGCCGGGGGUCCCGAGGCCAGCUCGUGACUUUGGGGGGCACAAGGUGGCAUCAACCUCGGACACACCUGGAGCCAGGUGCUGCAGCUCUCGGGGGGCUCAGCUCUUGGAUCAUCGAUGCAAAUCAAAGAACUUCUCAUCAAUAUAAAUAAAAAUCGCUAUUUUUGUUAAAAA